This 301-nucleotide ribosomal RNA is filed under the name uncultured bacterium. RNAcentral's name for it is "partial 16S ribosomal RNA". It matches the Rfam family "Bacterial small subunit ribosomal RNA", at positions 509 to 807 of the family's 1533-position model. The record is from RNAcentral.
CAGUAGCCGCGGUAAUACGAAGGGUGCAAGCGUUAAUCGGAAUUACUGGGCGUAAAGCGUGCGUAGGCGGUUUGUUAAGUCUGCUGUGAAAUCCCCGGGCUCAACCUGGGAAUGGCAGUGGAUACUGGCAAGCUAGAGUGUGUCAGAGGAUGGUGGAAUUCCCGGUGUAGCGGUGAAAUGCGUAGAGAUCGGGAGGAACAUCAGUGGCGAAGGCGGCCAUCUGGGACAACACUGACGCUGAGGCACGAAAGCGUGGGGAGCAAACAGGAUUAGAUACCCCAGUAGUCCCUGUCUCUUAUAC